RNAcentral lists this small nucleolar RNA (212 nucleotides) under Sinocyclocheilus rhinocerous. RNAcentral describes it as "Small nucleolar RNA U3 (ENSSRHG00000035097.1)". It matches the Rfam family "Small nucleolar RNA U3". Rfam says of the family: Small nucleolar RNAs (snoRNAs) are involved in the processing and modification of rRNA in the nucleolus. There are two main classes of snoRNAs: the box C/D class, and the box H/ACA class. Lineage: Eukaryota; Metazoa; Chordata; Actinopteri; Cypriniformes; Cyprinidae. The record is from Rfam by way of RNAcentral.
AAGACUAUAUUUUCAGGGAUCAUUUCUAUAGUUCCUUAUUUGGAAAUGUGUUUUGAAAGUGUCUGUCUCCCAACCCACGAUGCUGAGCCGUGAUGCUUCUUUAUGAGAAUGAAUUAAAGACAGAGCUGUGACUUUGGUUGCAAGCUCCGUCAUUGAUGAGUGUUUUCUAUUGUUUUUGGCAAUAUUGAUAAAAGGAGUAUGAUCUGAGUGGC